GGAUGCGAAAAGCGUCCUCUACAAGUGUGUAGAUAGCGUCCAUAUUGGCCUAUGGCGUGGUCUGUGAAUC
This 70-nucleotide non-coding RNA is filed under the name unclassified sequences. RNAcentral's name for it is "L13-Bacteroidia ribosomal protein leader". It matches the Rfam family "L13-Bacteroidia ribosomal protein leader". The record is from RNAcentral.